RNAcentral lists this ribosomal RNA (327 nucleotides) under uncultured eukaryote. RNAcentral describes it as "partial 18S ribosomal RNA". It matches the Rfam family "Eukaryotic small subunit ribosomal RNA", at positions 1470 to 1796 of the family's 1831-position model. The record is from RNAcentral.
CCCUUAGAUGUUCUGGGCCGCACGCGCGCUACACUGACGAAUGCAACGAGCUUAUAACCUUGGCCGAAAGGUCUGGGUAAUCUCCAAAUUUCGUCGUGAUGGGGAUAGAUUAUUGCAAUUAUUAAUCUUCAACGAGGAAUGCCUAGUAAGCGCAAGUCAUCAGCUUGCGUUGAUUACGUCCCUGCCCUUUGUACACACCGCCCGUCGCUCCUGCCGAUUGAAUGGUCCGGUGAAGCGUUCGGACCGUGGCCUUUGGACGGUUCGCCGUCUGUUGGCUGCGGGAAGUUCGUUAAACCUUAUCAUUUAGAGGAAGGAGAAGUCGUAACA